CCUACGGGGGGCAGCAGUGGGGAAUAUUGUACAAUGGGGGAAACCCUGAUGCAGCGACGCCGCGCGGAGGAAGAAGGUCUUCGGAUUGUAAACUCCUGUUGUUGGGGAAGAUAAUGACGGUACCCAACAAGGAAGUGACGGCUAACUACGUGCCAGCAGCCGCGGUAAAACGUAGGUCACAAGCGUUGUCCGGAAUUACUGGGUGUAAAGGGAGCGCAGGCGGGAAGACAAGUUGGAAGUGAAAUCUAUGGGCUCAACCCAUAAACUGCUUUCAAAACUGUUUUUCUUGAGUAGUGCAGAGGUAGGCGGAAUUCCCGGUGUAGCGGUGGAAUGCGUAGAUAUCGGGAGGAACACCAGUGGCGAAGGCGGCUUACUGGACGGUAACUGACGCUGAGGAGCGAAAGCGUGGGGAGCGAACAGGAUU
This 424-nucleotide ribosomal RNA is filed under the name uncultured Megamonas sp. RNAcentral's name for it is "bacterial SSU rRNA". It matches the Rfam family "Bacterial small subunit ribosomal RNA", at positions 338 to 779 of the family's 1533-position model. Lineage: Bacteria; Bacillati; Bacillota; Negativicutes; Selenomonadales; Selenomonadaceae. The record is from RNAcentral.